AGAAGCACCGCCCGCCGAGGAGCGAAACGCCUGCGCGGUGGGGGGCGGGGAGGCGGCCGUUGGGCGCGGCCGCCAUUUUGACUCGCCUCAGCGCGUCCCAGGUUAGGGGUUAAUGCGGGGGUGCGUUGCGAGCCCCAGCUCGGAGGCGGGUACCGGGAGCGGAGCGGAGCGGAUUGAGCAGCGGGGGCUGUAACUGAGGCCCCUUGCUCAGAGCGGUUCCGCCCGCGCGGGAGCGGGGCCGCCCCGCCGGUACCGGCGGCGGGGGCACGGGCCGGUUCGGGCUGCACAAGGGUCUUCUUGUGCUCCCGGCUGCAUUUAGUAAUAAAGCAAAAUCUGGUCGGUUUUGCAGGUUUGGGCUGUGGGACGUUUUAGUCGGGGGCAUACGUGGAGGUGUAUCCAUAGCUCUGUGAAACUGAACUGUAAUGCCAAAAGUGAAGGCUUCAGGAUGGUAAUUGCUAUUCCAACAUGUUUGAUUUAUCUUCCCGUUUUCUUCACCCUCCGUCCCUUUGGAUGUCGGCGGAGUCAGCCUGUUGUGCACACCCCUCCGCCCCCACACUGACAGGGUUGGGAGCAGAGACCUCAUGUGUCCCUGACAUCUUUGAACUCUGUCUUCUUGUGGUUGGGGUUCUUUUUGUUGUUUGGGUUUUCGUUGGUUGGGUGGGUUUUGUUGUUUUUGUUUGUUUGUAUGUGUGUGUGUUGUUUUGUUGCGAAGCUCAUGUACAUUGUGCAUCUGAUGAUUGUAUCUCUACAAUGGUAGUAAGAUAAACUUGUCUCCUAUCUUAAAUAAGGAUGUAAGUACCAGGCUCUCAUCACCUCACUCCUUUUAUGUCUGCCCUGAAGCUGGAACUGAGUGCAGCAAAUGCAGAAAUAUCUGAACUUCUGUUAAUGUAAUGAGCUCAAUAUCAACAAGAGAAAGCUGUAAUUGUUCAAGCUUUGAUGUGUGCAGGUUGCACCUGGAUAAACUGUGAGAGGCUGAGGUGAACUUGUACAGAAGUACUUGCCGCCGUGACCCCAGUUUCAUGUUAUCAACAUGAGAAGUAGGCAAAGAAAACCUAUGGUGAACCCAGAAUGAUACCUCUGCAGAUACUCUCUGUGACUGGGUCGGAGACUGAUGAACUUCAGUGCUUAUUUUCUAAGAUGGGUAUCAACACAAGAUUGGCACUAAUUUCUCCAUCUCUUUAUUUGAAAACCAGUGCUGCCUUUUCGAGGCAGCUUGCAUAUUACUACCAAUAGAAGGUAAAUAAAAGCAAAACAGCUUUGAAGCACUAUAAACUUACUUAUAUGCAAGAGGUAUACUAUUUUGAAGCAUAUGCUGUCACUAAUUCCUUUUUCAGUAUUAACAUUUUCCUUCUGAUUUUGAGAGGGGAUCAAUUCUUCUAUUGGAGCAACCAGAACAGUGUAUUGUCAUAAUGGUAUCCUCAAACCUGGGUCAAAGUUGUUGAGUUCCCAGGGUAAAGAGCAGAACAAAAAUAGACGGUCAUGUAUCCUGUAAGUCUGCAGAUUGACUCCAAAGGCAACAAUUAUAAUCUCAUCUUCAUAAUAUUAUUUAGGCUGAAGGAACUGUUAGAAAAAUCUGCCGCAGGAAAUCUUUCAGCAGCGGCAGAGUGUAGAGCACAGCUGGAAGUUUCAAAUCACGCAAGGACUUAGGUGCUCAAAUACUUUUUGAGUCAGUACUUAUUUAAGGACAGAAUUUUGCCUAACAACCAGAAUACCUUUGAGAUCCCCUUCCAAGUGAUUUAUUUUAGUGGAUAUUUUCCAUUUCCAACCCACAGAUGACUCUUCCUAUUCAUCUGGUAGAUUUCUUGAUAGCCCCUCACAACAAAAUUCUUACUGUUCUUUGCACUGAACAAACACAGAACAACCAGGGUCCCAGCCUAGUAAUAUUAAAAAAAAUACUUUUUAUUGCAUGUAAAUGACUCUAUAACUCGUGGAAAAGGGUACAUAGCACUUCUGCUUGUUGCGAGGUAUUAGCAAAAUCUGACUUUUUGCAUUAACAGUUAGUGUUAGGUCAGUGAAAGCCACCUCCAUCCAAGAUAACAUAGUUCCUGUCUGCAAGUAUUGUGUAUUACUGUUCCUCCAGACUGGGAAAAGCUGAAGGGCUGACAUUAUGUGACUAAGUGCAGCAUCACACCAUUAGCUCUCAGGGAAGCGUGGCAUGUCCCAAUUACUGAAAGGAAACAGAACAGGUACUACCAGGCACAGGAAGUAUAAAUGUGUAACUAAGUGCAAGGGGGACCUUCGGCGCCUUUGUUUUUCAGCUGUGCAAAAUACAAAGUUCAUCCGGGAGGGCACGCUGAAAAACCAAGUCGUCUUGUAAGUAAAUCUUCAAAAGCAUAAGAAGUUAGUUGUGGCACUUGCUGAGCAUGGUUAUCAUCAGUGCUCUGCCACCGAUUCAGAGUCAGCUAAACCUGUAAAAUACUUAAUUUCCUAAAAAUUCUUGGGAGAAAAUCCUGAUGUUUUGCUCAGCAGUGUCUUGCCCGUGGCUGUUGUGCAGAAAUGAAGCACCACACAGAGUGGCCUCAAAUUGGCAACCAGUGUUCACCUAGUGGACAAAAACAUGGAAGUGGUCUAAGAACAGAUCAGUGCUAGAGAUUUUAAUUUUCUGAAAACUUCCAAUUCAAAAGCCUUGUCAUACAAACUCAUACCAGCAGAAUUAUAUAGGCCAAUUUUAUGGUUACUCUGUAAAAAAAGCUUGAAGGGUUUGUGCUCUGUUCUGUCUCGCAGAUUUGUCCAAAAUAUACUACAUAUGACAAAGGAAUGCAGAGUAACAGUCCUUCCUUUGUUCCUGUGGGACAAGGUUGAGUUCAGGAGCAGAAACACAAGCUUCCCUCAUGCAUCUUAUGCCUGUAGGUGUAGGAAAUCAUUCUCUGCUUAGGCUAAGCUUCAGCAGUUUUGCAAUUGAUACAACUUUUAAUUUUUUUAAGAACUAGAUGGGAACAUCUAGAUUGAAUUUCCAUUCAUCAGAAGCCAAGUGUGACACAAGCAGCUUUCAGAGACAGCCAAACUGAGCUGUGCAGCGUGGCUGUGCAGCUCCUUGCCUACCUCAAGAAGCACUUGCCCUGCGGGUCGGCAGUCGGGUACAAGAAGGCAGCGUACGUGGAAGUCUCUCGUCUCAGUCCCUGUCCUCGGUGCAUUCUUUACAGGUGAAGCUCCGCACACCAGGGAAGGAGGGCAGGGAAACCCCUGUUUUGCCACCCAGUCCCUUUGUCUGGGCAGCGUGCUGACCCACUGCCAGCUCUGUUGGCUUUGCUUUUCCUUUUAAUCCCAUUAUCAUCGUAUUAGAACACAGAGGUAGCUCAUAAAACUUACAAGCACUUGCAUAUUAUAAGAGCAGCUUGAAUAACGGGAAAAGGGAUAUUGCAUAAGCCUAAAACGUAUCCGUUAAAUUUAAUUUGUCUUAAACCUCUGGACUCUCAUUGCUACUAGUUUCACAGGUGAUAAAAUAACGUAUGAAAGGCAGAUGACAAAUUUGUUGGGGAUAAUGCUUAAAUAUGCUGGUCCUGGCAGGGAAAGAAUGAGUUACCAGCCAGGAAUCCCGGGCAGACUGGCUGUGCAGGAGCUGCGGUACCUUUCUGUGUGUGCUCACUGCGCACGGCACUCCCCUAAGUCACAGCUCCACGCGCACCUACCGCCGGUGCUGCCACUGACCGGCGCAAAUGCUGCCAAGGACAACGCAGAGGGGCUUGCAUGACAGCAGCAUUCUUUACAUUGGAAACUAAUUCUUUAGCAUAUGCGGAGUUAAUAAUUCAGUUAAUAAUUCACAACUGAAAGGCCUGGCUGAUCAGAUGUAAUUCUUUUAUCAAGCAUCUUCUGUAAACGCAGUGAAAAUAUACUCCUGCUGUAUUUAAGAAAUAACUAAAAAUAAUUUAUGCCUUUCAAAGUUUUAACUACAAAAUUUAAAGCAUGUUCGAUGUUAAUGAACAAAAGUAUUUACCCAAGAACCAUGCAGAACAACUAUUUUCCAUUAUUUCCUGUGUGUAUUUAUGUGGUAUUUUCACUGCACUCUAGUUCAGGGGAAUGGCAAAUCAUUCUGCAUACAAUACCAGGUCACUGUUGCUGUGAACUUACAGCGAGAUCAUGUACUUGUCUCCACCAAGCUGCAUGUGAGCUGUUCAAAACAGGGUCUUUCUUUUUUCCUUUUUAGAAAAAGAGGUCUGGCCGUGGGGUUAAGAGUGAGCAUGUUCUUGUGUACGGGUGCAGUUCUUCUAAAGAUACAGUGAGAUACUGACCAUUGAUGGCUGAACACAAGUUGAGAGCAGAAAUGAAGUCCGCUAUUUUAUAAAAGUUCUUCGACUGUUAUGUGAGAAAGGACCUGGGAACUAAGCUUAUUAUGUCUGUUUAUAUAUAUAUAUAUAUAUAUAUAUAUUUAAAGAACAUAUGCAGUGUUUUUCAUUAUCCUGCAUUGUGCUGAAAAAAAAAAGUUUAAAAAAAUACAGCAAUGAAAAGGACUCCCAAAUCAGAUACCUCAAGCUCUCUCUCCAGAAUGUUUAAUGCUUAGUUAACCAUCUUGUAUCUAAGUUAUAUACAUUAGCCAAAGAAAAUGAACACACGCACGCACACACACCAUCCAAUUGUCCUUUUUAUAUUUUUAUUCGGUGUUAAGUAACUCCACAAGAAAACAAAAUCAGUUACUCUGGUGUACGUGAAAUCAGAACAAUACAACCACUUGAAGCAAAAAGUAGAAACAAAUUUCAGCCCAGGAAUGGAAAACUGAUACUUCAGUGCUAUGGAUAUGCAAUGCGCUUCAUACCACAGUGCGGUUCAGCGUAUGCCAACCUGUAAUGCUUCUGUUGUUGGUGUUUUGUUGGUUGUUGUUGUGUGUGUUUCUAUCCAUACAGAAAAACUAAAAACCACACUUCAACUCUCACUGAAAGCUUUAGAGCUUUAGCCAUUAAACUAUGAAAACAAGUAAAGACAAUUUGUUAUUGCCCAAGCUCAAGAUACGAUUUUAUUUUCCCCAAAGGUGCUGGAAUUAUUACAUGCCACAAUGUAAUUAUAAGCAACACCUUUGUCAUUUUUGAGCCCUUUCUUACCAAAGAAGCAGCUCUAGCCAAAAUUAACUGAGCUGAAGUUUGUGUUUGAAAUAUGUCCAUUUGGUCAUUUCUUGUUCUCGAAUGAAGUUCUAUUCCAUUCUUCACUGCAGUGAUUUGAAGAAUUUGUGUGUUAAGUUCUUUUUUACUUUCAUGUUACAGUUAACUAGUUCUCAGUGCAGGUGCUAAACAACCUCUCAAGGAAGCUCCAGAAGAGAGUAAAAUAUAUAAAAAUCUACCCAAAGUCUGCAAAUAAAUUAAGGAAAGAAAGUGUAACGUGUCAAAAGAUCUGUUGUAUGAAUACAAACCCUAAAACAUAGUCUAAGAGGAGGACCAAAAGAAAGUCCCCAGGUAAGGACAAACCAAGCCAGUUUUCAGUAAGGAUCUCAACGUAAGCGAUGCGCAAAGAGCGGCAUGGUUCUCCAACCACGGAUUUCAAUUCUUACAUUGUCAACUGAAUAAAGGCAACAAAACCCAGUUACUCAGAAACCCUUACCAGCACAGAACAUAUUUCAAAGGCAGUUCAGCUCACAUUUCACACAGCUAUAGUUUUCAGGAGGUUUAUUGCCUGUCAAAAUUAAUGGUUAAGCUUUUCAAGUUGGUAUUGGACUUCCUGCACUUCCUGAUGUUAUAGACAUGCUGCUAUUGUAUAGACUAGUUAGUUGUUGUUGUUUUUUAAACUAUGAGUUGGUGAAAACUUAGAAUGUUUCGUUUUGCAAAUAUUGCUCCUCCUGGCUUAUACAUUUUGCAUAAUGUCUUACAAGCACAAGGAGUUGAUAGUCUUGUACAGAUGCAACUUGACAAUGUAUUGACUUUCUAAGUUAAGAAAAUAAAAUUUAAAAGCAAGUCACAUAAAGCAACAAUCACUACUGCAAUCACACAUGUAUGUUGUAAGUCGUCGCUUUCCCUGCCCCCACCCACCACACACAUAACUUGCCCCACACAUUCUCUCAGGAACACAAAAUGAACUACGAGAUUUACUAAAUUACAGCCACAACAGCAGCUAACUGCAGCAGCCACAGGAUUUCUUUCAAGUGAAGCACUGACCCUUUGCAUUUCAAACAUUGAACACUCUGAGCAUUUUAGAGAGUUUCAGUCAUUCAGGCUCAAGUUCAGUACAGGAUGCUUUUGCAGGUUACAUGAAUGCCAUCAUCUGCAACAAGACAACACUCUCAUUACUCGGUACAAAAUGCACAACAAUCCACUCACCACCCCAGUGGUUUCUUAUUUUUGGUGUUACUUUUUAAAUGUCUGCCCCACAUUGGCAAGUUGCUAAAAAGGACAAAAAAGAAAAAAAAAAAGAAAAAAAAAAGGAAAAAAAUCACCCACAUUGCCUCCAUACCUACAAAAAAAAUCCU
Long non-coding RNA from Columba livia (rock pigeon), 6388 nucleotides. RefSeq lists it as uncharacterized. The record is from RefSeq and is a predicted model, not a curated record. NCBI's taxonomy places the organism in Eukaryota, Metazoa, Chordata, Aves, Columbiformes, Columbidae. The transcript is spliced from 2 exons.